CUCCAGGCUUAACUUGAGGAAGGGACAAAAAACCACUUGACUUGAGGAAGGUAGAGGAAUACGGAAUGUGUGGUGGAGCGGUAGAAUGCGUUGAUACCACACAGAACGCCAAAAGCGAAGGCAGUAUUCUGGACCUGUCCUGACGCUCAGAGUCGAAAGCCAGGGUAGCGAAACGGAUUAGAUACCCGUGUAGUCCUGGCCGUAAAUGUUGCUAGUUAAGUGUUGGUUUCGUCAAUUCGGAAUCAGUGCUGAAGUUAACGCGUUAAACUAGCCGCCUGAGUAGCACGACCGCAAGGUUAAAACUCAAAGGAAUUGGCGGGGACCCGCACAAGCAGUGGAGCACGUGGUUUAAUCCGAUGGUACUCGUAGAACCUUACCAGGGUUUGAAUGUAGCUGUGGUUCCUAAGAAACUAGGAACGUCUUCGAGAUCGCUACACAGGUGCUGCAUGGCCGUUGUCAGCUCGUGCUGUGAAGUGUACCGUUAAGUCGGGUAACGAGCGCAACCCUUGUCCUAUGUUACAAGUGUCUUAGGAGACCGCCGCGGUAAAACGCGGAGGAAGGAGGGGAUGACUUCUGGUCAGCAUGGUCCUUAUGCCCUGGGCCACACACGCGCUACAAUGGCUGGUACAAUGGGUUGCCAAACCGCGAGGUGGAGCUAAUCCCAUAAAGCCAGUCUCAGUCCGGAUUGCAGGCUGCAAUUCGCCUGCAUGAAUGUUGGAAUUGCUAGUAAUCGUGGAUCAGCCAUGCCACGGUGAAUACGUUCUCGGGUCUUGCACACACCGCCCGUCAUGUUCCCAAAGUCAGAAUUGCGUGAAGAGUCUGG
RNAcentral lists this ribosomal RNA (823 nucleotides) under uncultured organism. RNAcentral describes it as "bacterial SSU rRNA". It matches the Rfam family "Bacterial small subunit ribosomal RNA", at positions 601 to 1433 of the family's 1533-position model. The record is from RNAcentral.